This 21-nucleotide non-coding RNA is filed under the name Caenorhabditis elegans. The record is from RNAcentral. Lineage: Eukaryota; Metazoa; Nematoda; Chromadorea; Rhabditida; Rhabditidae.
UUUUUGCGAAAUUAGCUGCAC